This 253-nucleotide ribosomal RNA is filed under the name uncultured bacterium. RNAcentral's name for it is "partial 16S ribosomal RNA". It matches the Rfam family "Bacterial small subunit ribosomal RNA", at positions 524 to 776 of the family's 1533-position model. The record is from RNAcentral.
UACGAAGGGGGCUAGCGUUGCUCGGAAUCACUGGGCGUAAAGGGUGCGUAGGCGGGUCUUUAAGUCAGGGGGGAAAUCCUGGAGCUCAACUCCAGAACUGCCUUUGAUACUGAGGAUCUUGAGUUCGGGAGGGGUGAGUGGAACUGCGAGUGUAGAGGUGAAAUUCGUAGAUAUUCGCAAGAACACCAGUGGCGAAGGCGGCUCACUGGCCCGAUACUGACGCUGAGGCACGAAAGCGUGGGGAGCAAACAGG